GAUGAAGAACGCAGCGAAAUGCGAUAAGUAAUGUGAAUUGCAGAAUUCAGUGAAUCAUCGAAUCUUUGAACACACAUUGCGCCCGUCAGUAUUCUGGCGGGCAUGCCUGUUCGAGCGUCAUUACGCCCCUCAAGUCCCCUGUGGACUUGGUGUUGGGGAUCGGCGAGGCUGGUUUUCCAGCACAGCCGUCCCUUAAAUUAAUUGGCGGUCUCGCCGUGGCCCUCCUCUGCGCAGUAGUAAAACACUCGCAACAGGAGCCCGGCGCGGUCCACUGCCGUAAAACCCCCCAACUUUUUAUAGUUGACCUCGAAUCAGGUAGGACUACCCGCUGAACUUAAGCAUAUCAAUAAGCGGAGGA
Molecule: unclassified non-coding RNA, 358 nt
Filed under: soil metagenome
Description: partial contains 5.8S ribosomal RNA, internal transcribed spacer 2, and large subunit ribosomal RNA
Rfam family: 5.8S ribosomal RNA (bases 1-120)
Source: RNAcentral